AUCCAGCUGACGAGUCUCAAAUAGGACUAUAUGACCAUCCUGGAC
RNAcentral lists this non-coding RNA (45 nucleotides) under Trichobilharzia regenti. The record is from RNAcentral. Lineage: Eukaryota; Metazoa; Platyhelminthes; Trematoda; Strigeidida; Schistosomatidae.